CCCUACGGGGCGCAGCAGUGGGGGAUAUUGCACAAUGGGGGGAACCCUGAUGCAGCGACGCCGCGUGGGUGAAGAAGCGCCUCGGCGCGUAAAGCCCUGUCAGCAGGGAAGAAAAUGACGGUACCUGAAGAAGAAGCCCCGGCUAACUACGUGCCAGCAGCCGCGGUAAUACGUAGGGGGCAAGCGUUAUCCGGAUUUACUGGGUGUAAAGGGGGCGCAGACGGCGAUGCAAGCCAGGAGUGAAAGCCCGGGGCCCAACCCCGGGACUGCAUUGGGAACUACCGGGCUGGAGGGCCGGAGAGGUA
RNAcentral lists this ribosomal RNA (305 nucleotides) under uncultured bacterium. Its description in RNAcentral is "bacterial SSU rRNA". It matches the Rfam family "Bacterial small subunit ribosomal RNA", at positions 337 to 659 of the family's 1533-position model. The record is from RNAcentral.